RNAcentral lists this ribosomal RNA (492 nucleotides) under uncultured bacterium. RNAcentral describes it as "partial 16S ribosomal RNA". It matches the Rfam family "Bacterial small subunit ribosomal RNA", at positions 30 to 507 of the family's 1533-position model. The record is from RNAcentral.
AUUGAACGCUGGCGGCAGGCCUAACACAUGCAAGUCGAACGGCAGCACAGUAAGAGCUUGCUCUUACGGGUGGCGAGUGGCGGACGGGUGAGGAAUACAUCGGAAUCUACUUUUUCGUGGGGGAUAACGUAGGGAAACUUACGCUAAUACCGCAUACGACCUACGGGUGAAAGCAGGGGAUCUUCGGACCUUGCGCGAUUGAAUGAGCCGAUGUCGGAUUAGCUAGUUGGCGGGGUAAAGGCCCACCAAGGCGACGAUCCGUAGCUGGUCUGAGAGGAUGAUCAGCCACACUGGAACUGAGACACGGUCCAGACUCCUACGGGAGGCAGCAGUGGGGAAUAUUGGACAAUGGGCGCAAGCCUGAUCCAGCCAUACCGCGUGGGUGAAGAAGGCCUUCGGGUUGUAAAGCCCUUUUGUUGGGAAAGAAAAGCAGCAGGUUAAUACCCCGCUGUUCUGACGGUACCCAAAGAAUAAGCACCGGCUAACUUCGUG